This 963-nucleotide ribosomal RNA is filed under the name Bacillus sp. (in: firmicutes). RNAcentral describes it as "bacterial SSU rRNA". It matches the Rfam family "Bacterial small subunit ribosomal RNA", at positions 47 to 991 of the family's 1533-position model. The record is from RNAcentral. Lineage: Bacteria; Bacillati; Bacillota; Bacilli; Caryophanales; Bacillaceae.
AAUAGUACAUGCAAGUCGAGCGAACUGAUUAGAAGCUUGCUUCUAUGACGUUAGCGGCGGACGGGUGAGUAACACGUGGGCAACCUGCCUGUAAGACUGGGAUAACUUCGGGAAACCGAAGCUAAUACCGGAUAGGAUCUUCUCCUUCAUGGGAGAUGAUUGAAAGAUGGUUUCGGCUAUCACUUACAGAUGGGCCCGCGGUGCAUUAGCUAGUUGGUGAGGUAACGGCUCACCAAGGCAACGAUGCAUAGCCGACCUGAGAGGGUGAUCGGCCACACUGGGACUGAGACACGGCCCAGACUCCUACGGGAGGCAGCAGUAGGGAAUCUUCCGCAAUGGACGAAAGUCUGACGGAGCAACGCCGCGUGAGUGAUGAAGGCUUUCGGGUCGUAAAACUCUGUUGUUAGGGAAGAACAAGUACAAGAGUAACUGCUUGUACCUUGACGGUACCUAACCAGAAAGCCACGGCUAACUACGUGCCAGCAGCCGCGGUAAUACGUAGGUGGCAAGCGUUAUCCGGAAUUAUUGGGCGUAAAGCGCGCGCAGGCGGUUUCUUAAGUCUGAUGUGAAAGCCCACGGCUCAACCGUGGAGGGUCAUUGGAAACUGGGGAACUUGAGUGCAGAAGAGAAAAGCGGAAUUCCACGUGUAGCGGUGAAAUGCGUAGAGAUGUGGAGGAACACCAGUGGCGAAGGCGGCUUUUUGGUCUGUAACUGACGCUGAGGCGCGAAAGCGUGGGGAGCAAACAGGAUUAGAUACCCUGGUAGUCCACGCCGUAAACGAUGAGUGCUAAGUGUUAGAGGGUUUCCGCCCUUUAGUGCUGCAGCUAACGCAUUAAGCACUCCGCCUGGGGAGUACGGUCGCAAGACUGAAACUCAGAGGAAUUGACGGGGGCCCGCACAGCCGUGGAGCAUGUGGUUUAAUUCGAAGCAACGCGAGAAACCUUACCAGGUCUUGACGUCCUC